This 266-nucleotide unclassified non-coding RNA is filed under the name Hevea brasiliensis (rubber tree). Lineage: Eukaryota; Viridiplantae; Streptophyta; Magnoliopsida; Malpighiales; Euphorbiaceae. The record is from RNAcentral.
AGCUCAUUGAAUCAGGCAAGAAAUUCUUUACUAAGCUCAAAAGAAAGCUCAAAGACACUAUUAAUUUCAAUAAAGAUGAAUUUGUUGAAAUUUUGAAUCUGUUUCUUGAGAAAAUUGGGGAGAAGUUUGGGAUUUCUGUUGGAGUUGAUUCUUCAGAUAAUGGCUAUACUCAGGUCUUGAUUGAAAAGGUGGGGUUUUUGAUGGGUAGAGAUGUGGCAGGAUUGGUUUUGGAAGCGUGUGUUAGGUUGGAGAUUUGGGAUUUGGUG